AACUCCUGUUUCUGCCCCAUUUUUCGUUCGCUACCGUGAAAUAUUGGGUUCUGGUGAUGGAGAAGAACAAGCCUUGUGAUAGUCUUUCUGCAACUUUGAUACACCCGUGGUUAGGCUAUUGCAUGGAUCGUGUGGAUGCGUUAUUUGACUCGCUGUGCUCUUUUACCCCCUUGAGCAGUGGGAUUUAAUGCUUCGCUACAGUU
Molecule: small nucleolar RNA, 203 nt
Rfam family: Small nucleolar RNA snR43